Molecule: ribosomal RNA, 468 nt
Filed under: uncultured bacterium
Lineage: Bacteria
Description: partial 16S ribosomal RNA
Rfam family: Bacterial small subunit ribosomal RNA
Source: RNAcentral
GACGAACGCUGGCGGCGUGCUUAACACAUGCAAGUCGAACGGAAAGGCCCUGCUUUUGUGGGGUGCUCGAGUGGCGAAGGGGUGAGUAACACGUGAGUAACCUGCCCUUUACUUUGGGAUAACUUCAGGAAACUGGGGCUAAUACCGGAUAGGAGCUCCUGCUGCAUGGUGGGGGUUGGAAAGUUUCGGCGGUUGGGGAUGGACUCGCGGCUUAUCAGCUUGUUGGUGGGGUAGUGGCUUACCAAGGCUUUGACGGGUAGCCGGCCUGAGAGGGUGACCGGCCACAUUGGGACUGAGAUACGGCCCAGACGGCUACGGUAGGCAGCAGUGGGGAAUAUUGCACAAUGGGCGGAAGCCUGAUGCAGCAACGCCGCGUGCGGGAUGACGGCCUUCGGGUUGUAAACCGCUUUCGCCUGUGACGAAGCGUGAGUGACGGUAAUGGGUAAAGAAGCACCGGCUAACUACGUG